UCGAGGGGAACGGCAACAUGAUUUUCGGAUGAUUUUUUGACGUCGAGCNGCGGACGGGUGAGUUAUGCUUAGGNAUUUGCCCAGUCGAGGGGGAUAACUAUNGAAACGAUAGCUAAUACCGCAUACGCCCUACGGGGGAAAAGAGGGGACCUUCGGGCCUUCUGCGAUUGGAUAAGCCUAAGUGAGAUUAGCUAGUUGGUGAGGUAAUGGCUCACCAAGGCGACGAUCUCUAGCUGGUCUGAGAGGAUGAUCAGCCACACUGGAACUGAGACACGGUCCAGACUCCUACGGGAGGCAGCAGUGGGGAAUAUUGCACAAUGGGCGCAAGCCUGAUGCAGCCAUGCCGCGUGUGUGAAGAAGGCCUUCGGGUUGUAAAGCACUUUCAGCAGUGAGGAAGGUGGUAGUGUUAAUAGCACUAUUAUUUGACGUUAGCUGCAGAAGAAGCACCGGCUAACUCCGUGCCAGCAGCCGCGG
Molecule: ribosomal RNA, 474 nt
Filed under: uncultured bacterium
Lineage: Bacteria
Description: bacterial SSU rRNA
Rfam family: Bacterial small subunit ribosomal RNA
Source: RNAcentral